GAGAGUCAAUGCACCUCAAAUGAAAAUAUUGAUAAACCUUGAAAAGUAGAGACUCCGAUCCCGGUUCCGAAUUUUCCGGUUCUGAGGAAGGAACGAUUUUCCAGUUCUUUUGAAAGAACCGUUCCGGGUUUUAGAAUCGGAUCCGUCUCGAGAGCCAUCAUACAAAAAUACCCGGGCCGUUGAUGUCUCUAUUAAGAAGUUGUAUGCUCGGAGAGCAAAAGUGAACCGAAGAAGCAGAACUCCUGG
Long non-coding RNA from Culicoides brevitarsis, 246 nucleotides. RefSeq lists it as uncharacterized. Lineage: Eukaryota; Metazoa; Arthropoda; Insecta; Diptera; Ceratopogonidae. The transcript has 3 exons. The record is from RefSeq and is a predicted model, not a curated record.